Long non-coding RNA from Ornithodoros turicata, 1562 nucleotides. RefSeq lists it as uncharacterized. The record is from RefSeq and is a predicted model, not a curated record. The transcript has 3 exons. NCBI's taxonomy places the organism in Eukaryota, Metazoa, Arthropoda, Arachnida, Ixodida, Argasidae.
CUUUCUCGUUGCAUCUGCCGGGACUUUCUCUGUGUUGGUGGCAAUUAGUGCGGUUUUAGGCGGGAAUUUGCUCGGGUAAGAUAUUUACCGUUAGUUAUCACGUAAAGAAGUUAACUUAAUAGAGUCUAGGCAGGCGAACCGUGUUGGCUGGCAAUCGCGCACGACCUCCUCCUGCACGCUGGAGGUUGGAUAUGUAUGAAGUGUGCUAAUUGCUUAGUGCGCGAGUAUGAGAUGCGACUGUCUUGGCUCUUGGGCUCUUCGCAAUGAAGACAGAACCAAACACAGAGAGUGAAAGGAUGAAAGCUACCCAAAGAGACGAGAGAGAAGAUACAACAUUCACAGGGUGCAGGCAAGGCCAGAAGUAUGCUCACGGCCCCAAGAAGCACUUUGACGGCGUCCAUUUCGACUGCGAUAAAGGCGAUAAAUGUGACUGCGUCGGACACUUAGUAAUUUACGUUAAAAACUGCACUCCGUAGGUUUCCUAAGUCAGCACCCUGCGGAAACCAUAUACUUUAACCAGCAACAACCUUGACUGCAGUUUCCAAUUUCCUACAGGCAGUUGCAGAAACUCCUUUCUGUAACUCAGAACCCCUUUACACUCUCAAUUUCAGUCGUCUGUUUUCUGCUGAACUCAGUAAAGUGGCCAAUCAUGCUUCUUCUCUUUCUCGCACGAUUUGAAAGCGGGCCAACAAUGCCGCUUCCAUAACAAGAGCCACAGAACGUGAGAUGCAUUACAGAGGCGCGUAAUAAGUUUAUGGGGAAAUGGUUGCAACUUGUGGUGCUGGCGUCAGCUGGGAUGUAGCACAAAAAGGACGCCACAACGAUAUAUAUAUAUAUAUUUCACAGAAACCCAAUUGACGCAGAAAGGCCUUUAAGCGGGCCUCCCUCAUUUGCACUUCUUCGCAACAAUUUGGUUCAACGCACAACUGUUUCCGUCUCAAGCUGAACACGCAUCCUUUGCGCUUGUCUACUAUUUAUGGUACACCGUCUGGAGUUGUAGGCAUGUCCUUAGCCUGGCAGUUGGUAUCAAAACAUAAAUAAAAGCUGUUUUCCGCAGCAACGCGCAUAUCAUGCAAUUCAGAAGCUAUUCUAGCUCUGUUUUAACAAGAGACAGGGGGAAAUGUAAUUGUUUUAUUUUAUUAUUUUAUUUUAUUUUAGGAUGUAUUAUGUGGUUGGUUGCACCAGGGCGACCUACGUUUCCAUUUUUUUCUUUCUACUUCUAUUACGUUCUAUUCUGUAGUUAUUUUUUCUUCUUCUGAGCAGGUUUUGCAUUCCGGUUCGUCCAGGUGCAUAAGACAAACCGAAAUUGGUGCGACGUGAUCGAACCGAGGGCAAAAGUUUUCUAAUAUACCUCACAGAACAAGAACUGAAUACGUACAAUGGACACUGCUGUCCUAAGGAUACAAGCUGUCUCCAAGCUAAACUAACGGACUAAACUAAACUGAACUUGCUUAUCCCUCAGAUAUUGUGUUGACAUUUCACAUUGGCGUUUGUUUGAGAGCUUUUACCUUUGCUUUACUUUACAAGUUAAUCCUGUUUCAACAGCAGUUCUACGUUUAACA